CAGCCGCCGCGGUAAUACAGAGGGUGCGAGCGUUAAUCGGAUUUACUGGGCGUAAAGCGUGCGUAGGCGGCUUUUUAAGUCGGAUGUGAAAUCCCUGAGCUUAACUUAGGAAUUGCAUUCGAUACUGGGAAUCUAGAGUAUGGGAGAGGAUGGUAGAAUUCCAGGUGUAGCGGUGAAAUGCGUAGAGAUCUGGAGGAAUACCGAUGGCGAAGGCAGCCAUCUGGCCUAAUACUGACGCUGAGGUACGAAAGCAUGGGGAGCAAACAGGAUUAGAUACCCCAGUAGUCCCUGUCUCUUAUAC
This 301-nucleotide ribosomal RNA is filed under the name uncultured bacterium. RNAcentral describes it as "partial 16S ribosomal RNA". It matches the Rfam family "Bacterial small subunit ribosomal RNA", at positions 509 to 807 of the family's 1533-position model. The record is from RNAcentral.